Rhipicephalus microplus (southern cattle tick) is the source of this 489-nucleotide long non-coding RNA. The record is from RefSeq and is a predicted model, not a curated record. Lineage: Eukaryota; Metazoa; Arthropoda; Arachnida; Ixodida; Ixodidae.
AAAACAGUCGACGUCUUCUUAAACUUUCACAUAUACCUUACUGAGCUGUGUUUUAAGUUUUUUCUUGUAAAUUGUGCUCUGCUUGAUGCUAUGUAUGACAUCUGAAUAUAUUCUACAUUUUCGCAUUCGGCGCUGAUUGCCGCUUUCUCCCAUCAUCGCAACCUGCGCGCGAAAAAUUGCGCGGGGUUGGUUGGACUCAUCGCGCUGAUUACAUACGGCGUCGAAAUCAAUCAUGCACGCUUUUUUGAAAACGGCCAACCCAAACUUAACUCUUCCCAAGGAGAAAACUAAGGAACCCAAGCAGGUUCAGAAGAAACCAGUGCAUAUUCCGUGGGUGGAAAAAUACCGACCGAAAACUGUAGACGAUGUGGCUCACCAAGAUGAGGUGGUUUCUGUCCUUAAAAAGUCGCUUCAGGGAGCCGAUCUUCCCAAUCUCCUGUUUUAUGGACCACCAGGAACAGGAAAGACAUCCACUAUACUUGCUCUUGC